RNAcentral lists this ribosomal RNA (395 nucleotides) under uncultured bacterium. Its description in RNAcentral is "bacterial SSU rRNA". It matches the Rfam family "Bacterial small subunit ribosomal RNA", at positions 355 to 767 of the family's 1533-position model. The record is from RNAcentral.
UCGGGAAUUUUGGGCAAUGGGCGAAAGCCUGACCCAGCAACGCCGCGUGAGGGAUGAAGUAUUUCGGUAUGUAAACCUCGAAAGAAUGGGAAGAAUAAAUGACGGUACCAUUUAUAAGCUCCGGCUAACUACGUGCCAGCAGCCGCGGUAAUACGUAGGGAGCAAGCGUUGUUCGGAUUUACUGGGCGUAAAGGGCGCGUAGGCGGCGCGGUAAGUCACUUGUGAAAUCUCUGAGCUUAACUCAGAACGGCCAAGUGAUACUGCUGUGCUAGAGUGCGGAAGAGGCAACCGGAAUUCUUGGUGUAGCGGUGAAAUGCGUAGAUAUCAAGAGGAACACCUGAGGCGAAGGCGGGUUGCUGGGCCGACACUGGCGCUGAUGCGCGAAAGCCAGGGGA